UUUGCCAACAAUAAUUUCACAAAUGUAUAUAUAAAAUAAUAAAUUUUAUAUGUAUAUAAAUGUCAAUACAUAAAAUUGAUACACAAGUAUGUACUCACUAUAACUAAAUCUUCUAAAAUGUAUGCUUUUACUUGCAAAAAGAACAAAAGCAUCAUAUACCAAGGUUAUUAAAUUCUAAUCUAAUAAUUCCAAAAAUAAAUCUUCUUCCAACAACUUGUUGUACUGCAUGAACCAUAUUUCCAGCAAUGAGGAUUUAAGCAUGUCCAUCCUACAAAAGAAGAUAAAUAUCUUUAUAUUUUGAUAAAAGAAAGUUGUAAAGUACAAAACUACAAUUAACAAAGAAAAAGAGGAAAUCAGAUAUGCUUAUUGUCCACUUACUAAACAUUGCAAUUAUUUCAUCACUCAAAAUGUUACAUAUUACAGAAUUGUUGAAUAGAAACAUUCAACUAAAAAGAAAACUGAAUAUAAGUUGCAAAAUUAUCAGUUCAAGAGAAAUACUCCAAAUAGAAUUGAAUAAAUUGAGUUGUAAAUCUUUCAAAAAUUCCACAUCGAAGCUGAAUACUUCCCCAAACAAAGUUGUUGCACCAGAACCUACUAAAUACUCCGAAGAUACAAUAUUAUAGUCAAAACAAAAUACUAUACAAAUAUUUAUUCAAGUAAAUAGACUCAUUUGUGCAUACAACCAAGAUAUUUACUUUUUUCAUGAAAAAUAAAGUUACUUAGCAUGACUUGUAGACUUUACUCAUCCUCUUCUUCUAAAAUAUAGCACUAUAAGAUCAACAAGUAUAAAUAGUAGCAAGAAUAUGAAGGCCGUAAAACAGAGUAGAGGAAAUGAAACAUACAAUUCACUAUAUGACCUGGUUCUAUCAAUUUCAAUCUCUUCCAUAGUUUUUCCAAUUCAUUGACAAAAUCAAGAAUCCUCAAAUAAACUUAAUUAGUUGUGCAUUUGGAAUUACACAGCAGGUCCAACUCUACUAGAAACAUGUACAAUAGCCAUGCCAUAAUCAUAAUUAUAGGCUACAAGAAAUAUUGGACCACAUAAGGGAAAAAGAGAUGCAUUCAGUAAUGGAUAGUGUUAGAACAUAAACAAUAACCUUCUUCCUUGAGUUUCCACCUAGGCUGCCUAACAUAAAGAAGGGUAAAGGUAGGACAUGAUUUGAAAUAUUUAACUAAUAUUUCUAUGUGAUUAGAGAACAAUCCACUCAAGCUGCAACAAAAAGAACCAAGUUCUCUAUAGAUAAAAUUUGUAAAGAGUAAUUUCUUUCUUUAUACUAAGUAAAAAUCUUUUUCUCAAAACAAGUCCCGGUGAAUGCAAUGAGAAGGAAAUUGACUAAGUGACCUUUAGUACUAUGACCUGUUGCAUUUUGUACAGCUCUCUCUUUGCAUAUCGAAUGUUUCAUUUUUUAUUGGUUAACUCAUGAAUAUUUUUUGCAUGUGUUUAAAUCCCUACUGCACAUUAAACAAUAAAGGUUUCUAUUAAAGCAAAGAAUUACCUAUUUUUCUACAACUCACGUUUCACUGCAUUAGCAAGAGUUUUUCUCUCCGCACUUGCGCUAUCCACGGAAAAAAGGAGGCAAAUAUAAUUAGUAGUACAGAUAAUUCAAGAGCAAUUAUACACAAAUAUACAAGUGGAACUACUAAUCGGCACUAGCAGCUUAUAAAAAAGUAGUGAAUGAAUGAUAAUUGGUAGUACAAAUAAGGCUUUACGGAUGCACGACACAAAAAUUUAUAAUUUAUUCUUGAAAUCCCUGUAAUAUUGGAAAGAGUUUUUUCUUCUAGUGUUUUACUCACUUGUAAUUACUAUAGCACUUUGACCAAAAAAAAUACUACAUCACUUCCUUAGUGCUAGCUUUAUAAUACAAUUGUUUUUCUCUAAAAAUGAUUUACUUCUUGAACCUCAAACUUCUUUAGUGCAAGACACUAAGAUUUAUCAAUAAACUAAGGAACAGAAAGGUCACUAUAGUUUUAAUUUUAACAAGGCAACUAAUUCUCUUAAGCUUCUAGUUAAAACCACAAUAAUUAUUAGAUUUUACCGAAUUUUUUUAGAGAACAAAUAACACCUAAUCUCACAAAAUAUCCAAUCACUUAGAACCCGAAAUGUCCAUUGAAACCAGAGAUACAGAUACAACAUCUUCCUCAAGAUGAACGAUAGUAAUACUCACAUCACUAAGUGUAAAUAUUUUCACUCUGCGUUUCCAUCACUAGUGAGGAUAAAAUCAGUACGAUUGAAAUAUAUUAAGUCAAUUUUCAAACAUAUAUAGAUGCUAAAGAAACGAAUAUAGACAAAGCAGAAACUAACUUACAGUGAGAUGUGGGAAUCAAAGUAACACAAUCAAAGAGAGACUUGCAUCCGCAAAGCCAGAAAUAGCCUAUUCUUUAGGAGCAUUACAACCCAAAAAAUAUAGCCAAAGCAUAUGCCAAAAUCUACAUCUAUCCCAAUUCCAAAAAGCACAAAUAUACCACAUAAAAAAUAAUUACAGUCACUAUCUGCUUGUGAAUCUUCAAUCAAUAGAAAGGAAGGUAGUAUUUUAAAAAAAAAAGGUAAAAUAGAAAUACCAACCGAAUAAGACAUGAGACCAUUGAUUAGAAUUGGAAUGGAGCUAUAAGUACUAAUGUGAAUGAAUCACACUAUCUUUGUUUAGAACCUGCAAAAAAAAAAUGGUUUAUUUGAUGCCCAAGUUUUUGCUUUGAGAAAGCGUCGACCCUGGUUAGGACCUCCUAACUAAAAACAUACAAUUGAAGCAUUCAAGGAAUUGAAACCCUAAACUAGAAACAACUAAAACUAGAGAUGAAGGAGCUUACAAUUUUAAGCCAUAGCCGCACUACUAAAAGAUAAGGUUGUCGCUCAUUUGAACCUUGUAACUCAAAAGCACGAGCCGAAGGGUUGAACGAAUUGGUAAAGAUGAAAGCCAAAAUAAAAAUAAAAAGGGGGAGUGAUUCGGGGAUAAAAGGGAGGGACGUUUGGCGCGUUUGUUUUUGCUAAAAAUUGAGAAAGAAUUAAAUAUUGUUUAGGCCACAUGUCAAACAAACUGUUAAGAAAAAUAAGUAUUUUACCAACAAGAAAAUGCUUUUGGCAACACUGACAAUUUAUUGUUGACAAUUUAUUUAUAUUU
This 3113-nucleotide long non-coding RNA is filed under the name Nicotiana tabacum (common tobacco). RNAcentral describes it as "long non-coding RNA (NTAB_LNC005508)". The record is from RNAcentral. Lineage: Eukaryota; Viridiplantae; Streptophyta; Magnoliopsida; Solanales; Solanaceae.